AAAGCGUGCGCAGGCGGCUUUGCAAGACAGAUGUGAAAUCCCCGGGCUCAACCUGGGAACUGCAUUUGUGACUGCAAGGCUAGAGUACGGCAGAGGGGGAUGGAAUUCCGCGUGUAGCAGUGAAAUGCGUAGAUAUGCGGAGGAACACCAAUGGCGAAGGCAAUCCCCUGGGCCUGUACUGACGCUCAUGCACGAAAGCGUGGGGAGCAAACAGGAUUAGAUACCCGUGU
RNAcentral lists this ribosomal RNA (230 nucleotides) under uncultured bacterium. RNAcentral describes it as "partial 16S ribosomal RNA". It matches the Rfam family "Bacterial small subunit ribosomal RNA", at positions 562 to 791 of the family's 1533-position model. The record is from RNAcentral.